RNAcentral lists this non-coding RNA (24 nucleotides) under Mus musculus (house mouse). The record is from RNAcentral. Lineage: Eukaryota; Metazoa; Chordata; Mammalia; Rodentia; Muridae.
UGAGAGUGACACUUUUCCCCCCAG